Cinara cedri is the source of this 202-nucleotide non-coding RNA. The record is from the annotation of a GenBank genome assembly. Lineage: Eukaryota; Metazoa; Arthropoda; Insecta; Hemiptera; Aphididae.
GUGUGUCAUCUUCUAGCGCCGGCACUGAUUAUUAUGGCAACCGAGUAUGUACGCGCAGGAAACGUGGUCGGCAAAUGUUUGCUGAUUCCGGUGACCCGGUUGUCGAAAAGUGCAUUCGGCUAUCUUCAAACAAUUACCGCAGUAAACUGUGUCGCCAAAACAGUUUGUUCACAUAACUUUAUAGUAACCAUCGGGUUGCUCA